This 955-nucleotide non-coding RNA is filed under the name Rhinella ornata. Its description in RNAcentral is "partial 12S ribosomal RNA". It matches the Rfam family "Bacterial small subunit ribosomal RNA", at positions 195 to 1478 of the family's 1533-position model. Lineage: Eukaryota; Metazoa; Chordata; Amphibia; Anura; Bufonidae. The record is from RNAcentral.
GACCCUAAAAAGUCCUUUAAACACAAAGGUUUGGUCCUGGCCUUGAGGUCAGUUAUUACUUAAUAUACACAUGCAAGUAUCCGCUCCCCUGUGAGAACGCCCUUUAACCCCUUUUAGGGACAAGGAGCUGGUAUCAGGCACGAAAAUCUGCCCAAAACACCUAGCCACGCCACACCCACAAGGGAAUUCAGCAGUGAUUAACAUUGAGUAUUAGCGUAAGCUUGACUCAGUUAAAGUAAGACAGAGCCGGCUAAUCUGGUGCCAGCCGCCGCGGUUACACCACGUGGCUCAAAUUGACCCCCCUCCGGCGUAAAGCGUGAUUAAAGUUAUUCCUUUCUAGAGUUAAACUAAAACUAAGCUGUGACACGCCUGUUUAUUAAGAAACCCAAAACGAAAGUCACUCUAAUAUAAUCAACUUGAACUCACGACAGCUGGGGAACAAACUGGGAUUAGAUACCCCACUAUGCCCAGCCGUAAACUUUAACUUACAUUCAAAUCGCCAGGGAACUACGAGCUAAGCUUAAAACCCAAAGGACUUGACGGUACCCCAUAUCCCCCUAGAGGAGCCUGUUCUAUAAUCGAUAAUCCACGUUUAACCUCACCAUUUUUAGUUAAUCAGCCUGUAUACCUCCGUCGUCAGCUUACCACGUGAGCGCCAAUUAGUGAGCUUAAUGUCUUUCACCAACACGUCAGGUCAAGGUGCAGCAAAUGAAAUGGGAAGAGAUGGGCUACACUUUCUAUAUUAGAAAAAACGAAAAACUACUUAUGAAAACUAGUUGGAAGGCGGAUUUAGCAGUAAAAAGGAAUCAGAAUGUCCCUUUUAACCCGGCACUGGGGUGUGUACACACCGCCCGUCACCCUCUUCAAAGCUUAUAACCUAGUUCUUAANNNNNNNNNNNNNNNNNNNNNNNNNNNNNNNNNNNNNNNNNAGUAUACCGGAAGGUGUGCUUGGAAA